RNA transcript from Salvia hispanica, 1318 nucleotides. It is a transcript of the gene named 29 kDa ribonucleoprotein A, chloroplastic-like, with no coding region annotated. The record is from RefSeq and is a predicted model, not a curated record. NCBI's taxonomy places the organism in Eukaryota, Viridiplantae, Streptophyta, Magnoliopsida, Lamiales, Lamiaceae.
UGACUACAGUAGCCAAAACCCUGUUUCCAAUUAUCUGAGUCUCUACCUUUUACACGCACUAUCAAUGGCUGCCUCUGCCCAUUUCUUAUCCUUGACCCCACGCACCCUCUCUCUUCACCACACCAACUCCUCCGCCGCGGCCUCGGCCUCCCCUUCUCUUUUCACACUCUCUUCCAUCAAAACCUUCCCCAAACUCGUUCUAGCGCUCUCUUCUGUCACUACCCGCGCUUCCAACUUUGUACCCUUCUUAUCGGACAUGGAAGAGGAGGAGGCCGAUGAGAUUCCCGGUUUGAAGCUGUUCGUGGGCAAUUUGCCUUUUUCUGUUGAUAGUGCUGUCCUUGCUGGCUUGUUUCAACAAGCCGGAACUGUGGAAGCGGUUGAUGUUAUCCUCGACAAAGCCACGGGCAGAAGUCGGGGUUUUGGUUUCGUGGUGAUGUCUUCGGUUGAGGAAGCUGAAGCUGCAGUUGAACAAUUUAAUGGAUAUGAAAUUGAGGGCAGAGCUUUGCGCGUAAACUCUGGACCACCACCACCUAAAAGGGAAAGAGGCUCUUUUGGAAGAAGGGAUAACUCCUUUGGAGGAUCCAGGGGACGGGAGCGAUCAAGCUAUGGAAACUCUUCAUUCGAAGGACCUAGAGGGGGUCGCGAACAAUCAAGUUAUGGUAAUACCAACAAGGUUUAUGUGGGUAACCUUUCAUUUGAUGUGGACGACUAUGCUCUCGAGUCUGUGUUUAGUGAGCACGGAAAUGUUCAGGAUGCAAGAGUGAUUUGUGAUAGAGAUAAUGGUAGAUCAAGGGGAUUCGGAUUUGUAACCUACAGCUCGGCUGAAGAGGUCAACAAAGCCGUUGAGUCAUUGGAUGGCACAGUAAGUAUUGAGUAGAGAAUUUGAUGGCUUUAUGGAUGCAAGCUUUCGUGGAUAGGAGCUGGAGGGUCGACCUAUUCGAGUCAGUCCUGCUGAAGACCGUCGUUAAAAUUUAAAACUGAAAACAAUUUUGAUCCUGCGAACUAUCGGUCAUGAUAUAGCGAAGUCGGUGCCCUAAGGUGAUGUGGUUAUAUGAAGUGGAACUACUGGUGACUACACUCAAGUUGCAACCAAAUAUUCAGCUUCUGCAUCGAUGCAACUAGUGUACAUGUAUGUUCGUUCCGAGUGUGAUUGAAAGUAUGUAAUCCACUAGUUAUUUUGUUUUAAACAAUGACGGUUUUUGGCACAUGGCAUUUGGGUUGGAAAGAAUUAGCAGGUGAGCCAUGAGCAUUAAUCACCACCCCUUUAUGAAACAAUAUUACAUCGGCUUUAGUGUACUUGUUUUAUUGUUACGUUCCA